GAACUAAAAUGUGUGUGCUCAUGUCAUGAUGAAAGAAAUAAUUGUCUUAAAAAACAUAAAUGCGACAGAGAUUGCAUAACCGAAGACCCUGACAAAAUGAACAAGAUCCUACAUGCCUCAAGCAGUACAGCAACUGAUAGUAUAUUUUUCCAGACAGCAAACUAGAAACAUAGCGAACAAUGCACUUCACAAAUCUAAGGACCUCGGAAACUGUCUGCUUUGUCCAGUCUUGAGAUACCUGAGCUUGAGGACUCUCCCAUUACAUCAGGAGAAGAUGUUGGAUGGUGUUCGCGCUUCAAAGAAGUAGGCAGUCCUGAAACUUCCUUCAUCAAAUGCAGUCUCAAGUCACAAGGCCGAACUUG
RNAcentral lists this unclassified non-coding RNA (362 nucleotides) under Hevea brasiliensis (rubber tree). Lineage: Eukaryota; Viridiplantae; Streptophyta; Magnoliopsida; Malpighiales; Euphorbiaceae. The record is from RNAcentral.